Gossypium raimondii (Peruvian cotton) is the source of this 112-nucleotide non-coding RNA. NCBI's taxonomy places the organism in Eukaryota, Viridiplantae, Streptophyta, Magnoliopsida, Malvales, Malvaceae. The record is from Rfam.
AUACCAUGAUGAGGGCAUUUUUGUAAUAAUUUCUUAAAUCUCUCCCAUGCCUCAUAUAAGGAUCCAUCACUCAAUUGUUGAAAUGUAGUGAUCUCGUUUCACAACUUAGUAU